GACGAACGCUGGCGGCGUGCCUAAUACAUGCAAGUCGAGCGGAUUGAUGGGAGCUUGCUCCCUGAUAUCAGCGGCGGACGGGUGAGUAACACGUGGGCAACCUGCCUAUAAGACUGGGAUAACUUCGGGAAACCGGAGCUAAUACCGGAUAAUCCCUUUCCUCUCAUGAGGAAAGGCUGAAAGAUGGUUUACGCUAUAACUUAUAGAUGGGCCCGCGGCGCAUUAGCUAGUUGGUGAGGUAACGGCUCACCAAGGCAACGAUGCGUAGCCGACCUGAGAGGGUGAUCGGCCACACUGGGACUGAGACACGGCCCAGACUCCUACGGGAGGCAGCAGUAGGGAAUCUUCCGCAAUGGACGAAAGUCUGACGGAGCAACGCCGCGUGAGUGAUGAAGGUUUUCGGAUCGUAAAACUCUGUUGUUAGGGAAGAACAAGUACGAGAGUGACUGCUCGUACCUUGACGGUACCUAACCAGAAAGCCACGGCCAACUACGUGCCAGCCGCCGCCGUAA
This 512-nucleotide ribosomal RNA is filed under the name uncultured bacterium. RNAcentral describes it as "partial 16S ribosomal RNA". It matches the Rfam family "Bacterial small subunit ribosomal RNA", at positions 28 to 523 of the family's 1533-position model. The record is from RNAcentral.